This is a long non-coding RNA of Apis florea (little honeybee), 214 nucleotides long. The record is from RefSeq and is a predicted model, not a curated record. NCBI's taxonomy places the organism in Eukaryota, Metazoa, Arthropoda, Insecta, Hymenoptera, Apidae.
CACCCCCCCCACCCACCCCCUUCCUUUCUCCUUCGUUUCCUUCUUAGCCUCGCUUCCCUCGCCGUCGAGCUCGCUCCACUUAUCCAGGGUAAUAGCAUUCGUUGGAUACGAUAGUAUCUCUACACUGCCGUGAUUUGUUGUGGUCAUCUUCGAUUAACUCUUUCAGUGAUUCUUGGCCUAAAUAAAUGUAUUAUAUGUGGGAAUGGUAUUAAUU